UGAGACCUCAAGUCAGGCGGGGCUACCCGCUGAAUUUAAGCAUAUCAAUAAGCGGAGGAAAAGAAACUAACAAGGAUUCC
RNAcentral lists this ribosomal RNA (80 nucleotides) under Trifolium albopurpureum. RNAcentral's name for it is "partial 26S ribosomal RNA". It matches the Rfam family "Eukaryotic large subunit ribosomal RNA", at positions 1 to 78 of the family's 3401-position model. The record is from RNAcentral. Lineage: Eukaryota; Viridiplantae; Streptophyta; Magnoliopsida; Fabales; Fabaceae.